This is a long non-coding RNA of Solanum tuberosum (potato), 936 nucleotides long. RefSeq lists it as uncharacterized. The transcript has 2 exons. NCBI's taxonomy places the organism in Eukaryota, Viridiplantae, Streptophyta, Magnoliopsida, Solanales, Solanaceae. The record is from RefSeq and is a predicted model, not a curated record.
AUGAUGCAUUGUUAUGCCUGUGUGUGUGUGUUGUGUAUCUCAGAAUAGUUAUGUUCACUUCUUUUUUCCUGUUGUUUGAACUUAGUGAUGACAAUUGUUAACAUUUUUAUUAGUAAUGUUGUUAUAAUAAUGUGAGAAAUCAAUAAUGUAGUUAAUUGUUGGAUCAAAAUUCAAGAAUGUUGGGCCCGUGCUUAGCAUGGGCCAUCACCGAUCUAGCUUAUUUAGAAAUGAGACUUGGGUUGGACAAACACGGCAGCAGAUAGUAGUACCAAAUGUUACAAGAGAUGUACUAUCUACAAUUUAACUUUUUUUUAGCUUUUGCCUUCUCACACAGACAUGUGUAUUGCACUUAAAUUACAAUGUUUUGUUUCUUUUUGGACAUUUUGCCUACCUUUUCAACUUUUGUUUCCAAGUCUCUUUCUUCAGUCUCUUUCCUGCUUUCACUUACAUCUUCUGUCUUCUUUGUUUAUUAAUGCUCUCUGCAAAUUACAAACUACAAAAAUUUUGAGAUUCAGGCAAUUCUUUGCAGGCAAAACUCUUCGUGAUUUGGUUCAUCUGGUUGAAAGUUAUGUCUUUCACACGCUAAAGAUGCUUUCAAGUACUAUUAACAAGCUUUUGUUCUUGCUCUCAAGUUUCAAGGGUGUUUGACUGCUUGUGUUCUUGCUGCCGAUGUUUUCAACCAAUAGGUAUAUAUUUUUUGGAUUAAUUUUGUUUUCUUUUUUCUUCAUCGUUUUCCCCCUUUUCGGACAUUUUCUCAAUUCUUCCCACAUUUCUUAGUUUCACAAUUUAAUGGGAUAUGUGGGUUAAAUACAUGGGUAUCAUUGGAAGACGAAAGCGGCAAAGUAACAAAUGAUGGUAGUAAUUUAAUGUAUUUUGGCUUUCUUUUCUGAUGAGUACUCUGUUUGAAUUAGAUUUGGAGUUCUGUCUGCUGCAUCA